GGUGAGUAACACGUGGGUAACCUGCCCAUAAGACUGGGAUAACUCCGGGAAACCGGGGCUAAUACCGGAUAACAUUUUGAACUGCAUGGUUCGAAAUUGAAAGGCGGCUUCGGCUGUCACUUAUGGAUGGACCCGCGUCGCAUUAGCUAGUUGGUGAGGUAACGGCUCACCAAGGCAACGAUGCGUAGCCGACCUGAGAGGGUGAUCGGCCACACUGGGACUGAGACACGGCCCAGACUCCUACGGGAGGCAGCAGUAGGGAAUCUUCCGCAAUGGACGAAAGUCUGACGGAGCAACGCCGCGUGAGUGAUGAAGGCUUUCGGGUCGUAAAACUCUGUUGUUAGGGAAGAACAAGUGCUAGUUGAAUAAGCUGGCACCUUGACGGUACCUAACCAGAAAGCCACGGCUAACUACGUGCCAGCAGCCGCGGUAAUACGUAGGUGGCAAGCGUUAUCCGGAAUUAUUGGGCGUAAAGCGCGCGCAGGUGGUUUCU
This 493-nucleotide ribosomal RNA is filed under the name Bacillus toyonensis. RNAcentral describes it as "bacterial SSU rRNA". It matches the Rfam family "Bacterial small subunit ribosomal RNA", at positions 105 to 583 of the family's 1533-position model. The record is from RNAcentral. Lineage: Bacteria; Bacillati; Bacillota; Bacilli; Caryophanales; Bacillaceae.